AACGAACGCUGGCGGCAUGCCUAACACAUGCAAGUCGAACGAGGCCUUCGGGUCUAGUGGCGCACGGGUGCGUAACGCGUGGGAAUCUACCCUUGGGUUCGGAAUAACUCAGAGAAAUUUGAGCUAAUACCGGAUGAUGUCGCAAGACCAAAAGAUUUAUCGCCCAAGGAUGAGCCCGCGUAGGAUUAGCUUGUUGGUGAGGUAAAAGCUCACCAAGGCGACGAUCCUUAGCUGGUCUGAGAGGAUGAUCAGCCACACUGGGACUGAGACACGGGCCCAGACUCCCUGCGGGAGGCAGCAGUGGGGAAUAUUGGACAAUGGGCGCAAGCCUGAUCCAGCCACGCCGCGUGAGUGAUGAAGGCCUUCGGGU
This 370-nucleotide ribosomal RNA is filed under the name uncultured bacterium. Its description in RNAcentral is "bacterial SSU rRNA". It matches the Rfam family "Bacterial small subunit ribosomal RNA", at positions 29 to 423 of the family's 1533-position model. The record is from RNAcentral.